GCGAUGGGCGUGCACAACGACUACACUCUCGAGUCC
This 36-nucleotide non-coding RNA is filed under the name Alexandrium minutum. The record is from RNAcentral. Lineage: Eukaryota; Dinophyceae; Gonyaulacales; Pyrocystaceae.